ACCAAGGUUUUUUUCAAAAUCAUAAAAAAUAAACAAAAACUAUGAAU
Molecule: non-coding RNA, 47 nt
Organism: Eutrema salsugineum
Lineage: Eukaryota; Viridiplantae; Streptophyta; Magnoliopsida; Brassicales; Brassicaceae
Source: Rfam